GAGGUAACGGCUCACCAAGGCGACGAUGCGUAGCCGACCUGAGAGGGUGAUCGGCCACACUGGGACUGAGACACGGCCCAGACUCCUACGGGAGGCAGCAGUAGGGAAUCUUCCGCAAUGGGCGAAAGCCUGACGGAGCAAUGCCGCGUGAGUGAUGAAGGUUUUCGGAUCGUAAAGCUCUGUUGCCAGGGAAGAACGCUUGGGAGAGUAACUGCUCUCAAGGUGACGGUACCUGAGAAGAAAGCCCCGGCUAACUACGUGCCAGCAGCCGCGGUAAUACGUAGGGGGCAAGCGUUGUCCGGAAUUAUUGGGCGUAAAGCGCGCGCAGGCGGUCAUUUAAGUCUGGUGUUUAAUCCCGGGGCUCAACCCCGGAUCGCACUGGAAACUGGGUGACUUGAGUGCAGAAGAGGAGAGUGGAAUUCCACGUGUAGCGGUGAAAUGCGUAGAUAUGUGGAGGAACACCAGUGGCGAAGGCGACUCUCUGGGCUGUAACUG
Molecule: ribosomal RNA, 495 nt
Filed under: Paenibacillus sp. F7
Lineage: Bacteria; Bacillati; Bacillota; Bacilli; Caryophanales; Paenibacillaceae
Description: bacterial SSU rRNA
Rfam family: Bacterial small subunit ribosomal RNA
Source: RNAcentral